CGGAUGUGUGUAUCGCUGCCGCUCAACAGAGGCGAAACGGACGUAGUAGGAAGGGUGGAAGAGAGGGGGGUGAUGACAGCGUGGGAAGGGGGGUGCGUCUCCUGUCAACCACACUAGAAAGAAGAUACGGCCGACGCACAUACAUAGAGAACGGACGCAAAAAAAAAAAUUGCCUAAGUGAACAUGACGCGCCGCAAGUGGCUGUGUCAGUAGCAGAAGAGGGGCUUGCGCUGUGAGUGACUCUGAGCACUCCCCACCCUCCGCAGCACCGCAAAGGAGUGAGCUGAGUCAGCAGCAGUGCAAACUGCGAAGCACGGCAUAGGAAGCGAGGAUGCGAUCCGGGAGCCGGAGGAGGGGAGCUGUCUCGAUGCCGCCGUUUUUUUUUUUCUUUUUUUCGCUGUGCUGAGCUGACAUCCGUGCGCCUCUUGGUCGCCUCUCCACACUCACCAGCCCCCCCCCCUCACCCUCCCUCUCCUCUCUUGCCUCCGUCUCGCUGACCGCGCUCUGGAUGCGAUGGGCUUUCGUUUUGCUCUCGCUCUCUCCUGCUGCGUUCACUGGUUCCCGCGGGCACCAAAG
Molecule: unclassified non-coding RNA, 576 nt
Filed under: Leishmania donovani
Lineage: Eukaryota; Euglenozoa; Kinetoplastea; Trypanosomatida; Trypanosomatidae
Description: gene:unknown
Source: RNAcentral